RNAcentral lists this ribosomal RNA (742 nucleotides) under uncultured bacterium. RNAcentral's name for it is "bacterial SSU rRNA". It matches the Rfam family "Bacterial small subunit ribosomal RNA", at positions 8 to 796 of the family's 1533-position model. The record is from RNAcentral.
AGAGUUUGAUCCUGGCUCAGAACGAACGCUGGCGGCGCGCCUAACACAUGCAAGUCGGACGCACUCAGCAAUGGGUGAGUGGCGGACGGGUGAGUAACACGUGGGAACCUGCCCUGGGGUCUGGGAUAACUGCGGGAAACUGCAGGUAACACCAGAUGUGCCCUUAGGGGAAAAGUUUACGCCCUGGGAUGGGCCCGCGUCGGAUUAGGUAGUUGGUGGGGUAAUGGCCUACCAAGCCUUCGAUCCGUAACCGGUCUGAGAGGAUGAUCGGUCACACUGGGACUGAGACACGGCCCAGACUCCUACGGGAGGCAGCAGUGGGGAAUCUUGGACAAUGGGGGCAACCCUGAUCCAGCGACGCCGCGUGGGUGAUGAAGGCCUUCGGGUCGUAAAGCCCUUUUGCCGGGGAAGAUGAUGACGGUACCCGGAGAAGAAGCACCGGCUAACUCUGUGCCAGCAGCCGCGGUAAGACAGAGGGUGCUAGCGUUGUUCGGAAUUACUGGGCGUAAAGGGCGCGUAGGCGGCUCGUUUAGUCGGGUGUGAAAUCCCAAGGCUCAACCUUGGAACUGCAUUCGAUACUGGCGGGCUAGAGACCGGAAGAGGUGGGUGGAAUACCCAGUGUAGAGGUGAAAUUCGUAGAUAUUGGGUGGAACACCGGUGGCGAAGGCGGCUCACUGGUCCGGUUCUGACGCUGAGGCGCGAAAGCGUGGGGAGCAAACAGGAUUAGAUACCCUAGUAGUCC